UACGGAGGAUGCGAGCGUUAUCCGGAUUUAUUGGGUUUAAAGGGUGCGUAGGCGGGACCUUAAGUCAGCGGUAAAAUUGCGGUGCUCAACGCCGUAGAGCCGUUGAAACUGGGGUUCUUGAGUGAGCGAGAAGUAUGCGGAAUGCGUGGUGUAGCGGUGAAAUGCAUAGAUAUUACACAGAACACCGAUUGCGAAGGCAGCUUGCUAGGCCGGAUCUGACACUGAUGCACGAAAGCGUGGGGAUCGAACAGG
This 252-nucleotide ribosomal RNA is filed under the name uncultured Bacteroidales bacterium. Its description in RNAcentral is "partial 16S ribosomal RNA". It matches the Rfam family "Bacterial small subunit ribosomal RNA", at positions 524 to 776 of the family's 1533-position model. Lineage: Bacteria; Pseudomonadati; Bacteroidota; Bacteroidia; Bacteroidales. The record is from RNAcentral.